CCUACGGGGGGCAGCAGUGAGGAAUAUUGGUCAAUGGGCGGAAGCCUGAACCAGCCAAGUAGCGUGCAGGAUGACGGCCCUACGGGUUGUAAACUGCUUUUAUACGGGAAUAACGCGCCUUACGUGUAGGGCUUUGCAUGUACCGUAUGAAUAAGGACCGGCUAAUUCCGUGACAGCAGCCGCGGUAAUACGGAAGGUCCGGGCGUUAUCCGGAGAUAGUGGGUUUAAAGGGAGAGUAGGCGGCAUGUCAAGCGUGCUGUGAAAUGGCCGGGCUCAACCCGGUCCUUGCAGCGUGAACUGGCGUGCUUGAGUCCGCGGAAGGCAGGUGGAAUUCGUCGUGUAGCGGUGAAAUGCUUAGAUAUGACGAAGAACCCCGAUUGCGAAGGCAGCUUGCUGGAGCGGAACUGACGCUGAUGCUCGAAAGCGCGGGUAUCGAACAGGAUUAGAUACCCCUGUAGUC
RNAcentral lists this ribosomal RNA (460 nucleotides) under uncultured bacterium. Its description in RNAcentral is "partial 16S ribosomal RNA". It matches the Rfam family "Bacterial small subunit ribosomal RNA", at positions 338 to 795 of the family's 1533-position model. The record is from RNAcentral.